RNAcentral lists this long non-coding RNA (762 nucleotides) under Homo sapiens (human). Its description in RNAcentral is "HSALNT0380310". Lineage: Eukaryota; Metazoa; Chordata; Mammalia; Primates; Hominidae. The record is from RNAcentral.
GUGACAUCAAUGCCUACAGUGUAACAAUGUCCUUUGUCUCUGACCCAGGCAUCUCUUGUCUUCUUCCAGAAACCAUGACACUAUGGCAGGCCAACUUACUAGCUUUCAAGUAAGGUAACAUCUCAGACCAUCAUAGGUUUUGACAGGGGAAACUCUGAAGGACCACAGGAGUUGGAGGUUCCACGUAUCUCUAAGUAGUAACAUACGAUGGGUCCAAAACAGAAGAAAGAGAACUCAAGAUUCCCGAGCCACAGAGCUGUUGAUUGGAGGCUGACUCAGAGAAACCCUGGAUUCAGUGACAUACAGAGACAACAGCUGUAUUUCCCCUUCCACCUGCAUCCCUGAAGUUCCUCCCACCUGAAAACUUCACCUGACCCAAGAAAGCAAAGGAAAAAACCCGGAGAGCCAGCUCAUAGUCUGGUUCACUGUUUAACAGCCAGAAGCCAGAGCCUGCGUACUAGAAGUGGAUGCCCAGGAAGUACUUGUGAGCUGACUAAGAAUGUAAGAACGCCACCCACUUCAUUCAGGAAAGUGAGGCAGGAUUCCAUGGAGUAUGAAUGACUGCACAUGGAACAAGCAGGUUAUCAUUUAUAUUCAGCAAGGGACCUCCAUGAACAGGACAUUUGGGGAGCUGCUAUCAAACAUCAGAACUUCUGACACUGUGCACACAGUCUUAUAUUGUGCCUUGUCUGUUGUGAUGUCUCACUACAGUAAUGAUUAAGAUGAUGAGCACUUAUGCGUUGAUAUUGCAAUAUGUCUGCG